GAUGAACGCUGGCGGCGUGCCUAAUACAUGCAAGUCGAGCGAACAGACGAGGAGCUUGCUCCUCUGACGUUAGCGGCGGACGGGUGAGUAACACGUGGAUAACCUACCUAUAAGGCUGGGAUAACUUCGGGAAACCGGAGCUAAUACCGUAUAACAUGUUGAACCGCAUGGUUCAACAGUGAAAGACGGUCUUGCUGUCACUUAUAGAUGGAUCCGCGCCGCAUUAGCUAGUUGGUAAGGUAACGGCUUACCAAGGCAACGAUGCGUAGCCGACCUGAGAGGGUGAUCGGCCACACUGGAACUGAGACACGGUCCAGACUCCUACGGGAGGCAGCAGUAGGGAAUCUUCCGCAAUGGGCGAAAGCCUGACGGAGCAACGCCGCGUGAGUGAAGAAGGUCUUCGGAUCGUAAAACUCUGUUAUUAGGGAAGAACAAAUGUGUAAGUAACUAUGCACGUCUUGACGGUACCUAAUCAGAAAGCCACGGCUAACUACGUG
RNAcentral lists this ribosomal RNA (497 nucleotides) under uncultured bacterium. RNAcentral's name for it is "partial 16S ribosomal RNA". It matches the Rfam family "Bacterial small subunit ribosomal RNA", at positions 28 to 507 of the family's 1533-position model. The record is from RNAcentral.